GACGAACGCUGGCGGCGUGCUUAACACAUGCAAGUCGAACGGUAAGGCCCUUUCGGGGGUACACGAGUGGCGAACGGGUGAGUAACACGUGGGUGAUCUGCCCUCCACUUUGGGAUAAGCCUGGGAAACUGGGUCUAAUACCGGAUAGGACUACGCGAUGCAUGUCGUGUGGUGGAAAGCUUUUGCGGUGUGGGAUGGGCCCGCGGCCUAUCAGCUUGUUGGUGGGGUGAUGGCCUACCAAGGCGACGACGGGUAGCCGGCCUGAGAGGGUGUCCGGCCACACUGGGACUGAGAUACGGCCCAGACUCCUACGGGAGGCAGCAGUGGGGAAUAUUGCACAAUGGGCGCAAGCCUGAUGCAGCGACGCCGCGUGGGGGAUGACGGCCUUCGGGUUGUAAACCCCUUUCAGCACAGACGAAGCGUAAGUGACGGUAGGUGCAGAAGAAGCACCGGCCAACUACGUG
Molecule: ribosomal RNA, 464 nt
Filed under: uncultured bacterium
Lineage: Bacteria
Description: partial 16S ribosomal RNA
Rfam family: Bacterial small subunit ribosomal RNA
Source: RNAcentral